This 731-nucleotide long non-coding RNA is filed under the name Sitophilus oryzae (rice weevil). RNAcentral's name for it is "uncharacterized LOC115890994". Lineage: Eukaryota; Metazoa; Arthropoda; Insecta; Coleoptera; Curculionidae. The record is from RNAcentral.
AAAGAUGUAUUAAAUAGUCCCUAUACUACUAAAUUAUAAGUCGGAGACUAUUUAAAAAUGACAAAUUCUUUACAAUUUGGCAACACCCAUCAAUCGCCGGGUCGUCUGUUCAUUCUUUAUUCUCUCGUAGUAGAGCCAUAGUAGAGUAAAGCACGUGUCGUAAAACCUUGUUGUCACAGUUUCUCCAUGGCUAUUUUAUUGUUUUUAUUGGAUGUUUUGAUUUUGUAUUUUUUGGAUUCGAUUUUCUUAGUGUGUAGUGUCGGUUUAGUGUUUAUUUUGAUUACUUUUUAUUUAAAAACUAUAAAACAUGGUUCGUCAGUGCCAAAUUUGUAAGAAAUUGGACUAUUUAAGUCCUGGAACAACAUUCCACAGAUUAUGCUGCCAAAGUUUCCUGAAUACAAUUCCGACCACUCUGUAUAUCAAGAUAUCCCCCAUUACGUACUAGUUUUUCUUAAUAAUUUUCUAUACAUUUUCCAACGCCAAGAUGUACCAAGCGCAUACAAAUACAUCAAGCUUCAAACAAGCUUGCACGUUGACAGUAAUACCUACAGUAAUAUUGUAUUAUAUUAAUGUAAUAUUUUUGAACCAAUGUUCAAUAUUACUGUAGUAAUACUGUUUAUACUCAUGCCUUUUAUAUUUGUUUGAAUUUGGUGCAUAUUUCCAUUGAAUAAAGUAUAGUCACCAUUACCAUUAUUAUACUUACUCUAUAAUAAAGACAGUAACGAGUUAAA